UUUCUGAGUGCAUCUCACCGGAAAGACUGGAAGCCCAUCCAGAAACCUGGUUAACAGAGAGUCUGGCAAACGUGUUUACCAGCAGAGCACAGAAGAGGGUAAGCAUUUAUUAGAGGAGGCAUUUGGAAAGAUCACUACAAGCAGAGGAGAAUGAAUGUUCAAACUACAGAGAUCUACCGGAAUUAGAGGCAAAACAGACAGAUUCCUACUUUAGGAUGGUAGGCUUGAAAAUUGGCCAAGUCUGAAAUAAGUUAACAUAUCAGAUAAUAUGAACAUUAUCGUGUUCAUGUGUUUCAAAAUUAUGGAGCAUUUUCUGUGAAAAAUAAAAUCUUCA
This is a long non-coding RNA of Mustela erminea (ermine), 334 nucleotides long. RefSeq lists it as uncharacterized. The transcript is spliced from 3 exons. Lineage: Eukaryota; Metazoa; Chordata; Mammalia; Carnivora; Mustelidae. The record is from RefSeq and is a predicted model, not a curated record.